AACUGAGUUUUUGACCAAAGAACUUUCCAAGUUCUGGAAUUUGGAAGAAAAGGACUUUAAAAUUGUGUCAGCUUUCAGACUUGGAAGAUUUAUAAAGAAGGAGAGGCCCAGGGAUUGUUUGAUUACAUUGAGAUCGAAGGAGGAAAGGGAUAAGAUUUUGGGCCUACAUUACGAAAAGUCACUGGAAGUUUUGGAUAGAAGAAUUGAGAUAUAUAAAGAUAUCCCAAGACAACUGUUGGAUCUUAGAGCCGCCUAUUCUGAACUAGCUAAACUAUUAAGGAGCAACGCAAUUCCAUUCAGGUGGGAUUUUCCCCAGGGAUUGUCUUUUACCUUUAGAGCGAGAAAGGUUAAAAUUAGAACAUUGGAAGAGAGAGAUAAAUUUCUGGCUACACACGGAGAGGACCUACAUAAAGGAAUUGAACUACCUUCCGGGCCUGAGGCAAAGCCAGCAUCAAUACCUCCACCUCGGGAACUUGAAGAUCAAGAGAAGACACCACCCCAGGAGAAAUAACCAGAUAGAUCCAGGAUGUCUCUGCAACUGUUGAGCUGGAAUAUUAAUGGUUGCAAUAUCCCGGAGAAAAGGAAGAAAAUUUUUCAUAUAUUAAAAAAAGAACAAUUGGACAUUAUUUGCUUACAAGAAACACAUGUGACGAGGCUCCACAGAAAAGUGUUAACAAAUAAAAGAUUGGGCCAGGAAUUUAUUUCGUCGGAUAAAGUGAAGAAGAGAGGAGUGGUGAUAUAUGCAAAAGAGAGCCUGUCACCUAAAUUUCUAUUUAAAGAUGAACAUGGAAGGAUUUUGGCUAUUGAGAUACAAUAUCAAGGAGAGAAAUUGCUGAUAUUAGGAAUCUAUGCGCCUAAUGAAGGGAAAUCGGAAUUUUACAAGAAGUUGCAGGGGACAAUGCUGGAUCAUCUGGAUUACAACAACAUCAUAAUGAUGGGAGACAUGAACGGGGUCGUGUCAACUAACAUGGACAAGUCGCAAAGUCAAAACAUCACAAAAGAUGGCAGACUACCUAAAACCUUUUUUUGAAAUGACUGACAAUAUGGACUUGAUCGACAUUUGGAGAACAAAAAACCCACUAGGUAGAGAAGGAACAUUCUUUUCUGAAGCCCAACUGACCUGGACAAGAAUCGACCAAAUAUGGAUCUCUAGAGGCCUGGCACCUAGGGUUAGAAAAGUGGAAAUCUGCCCAAAGACCUGUUCUGACCACAACGCAGUAAAGAUGGACAUGACACUACUACCAACUGGAUCCUUUAGAUGGAAGAUGAAUGACAAUUUGUUUAGAGAUCAGGAAAUUACCAAGAAGGCCCAAAAAGUUUUGAAAGAUUAUUUUGAGAUAAAUAUGAACAAUUCGGUGGAAAAAAGAAUCGUCUGGGACGCAAGCAAAGCUGUCAUGAGGGGUUUUCUGAUACAACAGAAUGUAGU
RNAcentral lists this long non-coding RNA (1426 nucleotides) under Podarcis lilfordi (Lilford's wall lizard). The record is from RNAcentral. Lineage: Eukaryota; Metazoa; Chordata; Lepidosauria; Squamata; Lacertidae.